Molecule: ribosomal RNA, 465 nt
Filed under: Vreelandella stevensii
Lineage: Bacteria; Pseudomonadati; Pseudomonadota; Gammaproteobacteria; Oceanospirillales; Halomonadaceae
Description: partial 16S ribosomal RNA
Rfam family: Bacterial small subunit ribosomal RNA
Source: RNAcentral
CCUACGGGAGGCUGCAGUGGGGAAUAUUGGACAAUGGGGGCAACCCUGAUCCAGCCAUGCCGCGUGUGUGAAGAAGGCCCUCGGGUUGUAAAGCACUUUCAGUGAGGAAGAACGCCUGGUGGUUAAUACCCAUCAGGAAAGACAUCACUCACAGAAGAAGCACCGGCUAACUCCGUGCCAGCAGCCGCGGUAAUACGGAGGGUGCGAGCGUUAAUCGGAAUUACUGGGCGUAAAGCGCGCGUAGGUGGCUUGAUAAGCCGGUUGUGAAAGCCCCGGGCUCAACCUGGGAACGGCAUCCGGAACUGUCAAGCUAGAGUGCGGGAGAGGAAGGUGGAAUUCCCGGUGGAGCGGUGAAAUGCGUAGAGAUCGGGAGGAAGACCAGUGGCGAAGGCGGCUUUCUGGACUGAUACUGACGCUGAGGUGCGAAAGCGUGGGUAGCAAACAGGAUUAGAUACCCCUGUAGUC